This 220-nucleotide ribosomal RNA is filed under the name Diversispora sp. RNAcentral's name for it is "partial small subunit ribosomal RNA". The stretch from base 47 to 220 matches the Rfam family "Eukaryotic small subunit ribosomal RNA", at positions 692 to 866 of the family's 1831-position model. The record is from RNAcentral. Lineage: Eukaryota; Fungi; Glomeromycota; Glomeromycetes; Diversisporales; Diversisporaceae.
GGAUUUACCCAUUGGUCAGGCUUAAUUGUCUGUACUGGUGAGAUGGAUCUCUACCUUCUGAGGAACUUUCAUGCCAUUUAUUUGGUGUGAUGGGAAAUCAGGACUGUUACUUUGAAAAAAUUAGAGUGUUUAAAGCAGACUAUCGUCUGAAUACAUUAGCAUGGAAUAAUGAAAUAGGACGGACUGAUUCUAUUUCGUUGGUUUCUAGGAUCACCGUAAU